This 460-nucleotide ribosomal RNA is filed under the name uncultured bacterium. Its description in RNAcentral is "partial 16S ribosomal RNA". It matches the Rfam family "Bacterial small subunit ribosomal RNA", at positions 338 to 795 of the family's 1533-position model. The record is from RNAcentral.
CCUACGGGAGGCAGCAGUGAGGAAUAUUGGUCAAUGGGCGCGAGCCUGAACCAGCCAAGUCGCGUGAGGGAGGACGGCCCUACGGGUUGUAAACCUCUUUUGCCGGGGAGCAACGGGCGUCACGUGUGGCGCCACUGAGAGUACCCGGAGGAAAAGCCUGGGCUAACUCCGUGCCAGCAGCCGCGGUAAUACGGAGGAUGCGAGCGUUAUCCGGAUUUAUUGGGUUUAAAGGGUGCGUAGGCGGAUCGCUAAGUCAGUGGGAAAAUUGAGGGGUGCAACUCCUUACCGCCAUUGAAACUGGCGUUCUUGAGUGGAAGAGAAGUAUGCGGAAUGCGUGGUGUAGCGGUGAAAUGCGUAGAUAUCACGCAGAACCCCGAUUGCGAAGGCAGCAUGCCGGCUUCCAACUGACGCUGAAGCACGAAAGCGUGGGGAUCGAACAGGAUUAGAUACCCUUGUAGUC